UCUGAAAGCAUUCCUUUUGCCUUUUCCAACAGAGUUGAACAACUGGAAAGAAAGGAAGGAACUUAAAAAAAAAAAUCCCUGAAGUUUUUGGCAAACUUUAGGUGCUCUUUCCCCCACCCUGUAAUUAAGACCGAAGUAAACAGUAAGAGAAUAUCAAAUUGCUGCUUGCUUCAGUAAUAGGUGCCCAGGUGGAGCUGCUGCUUGUAUGGACCUGUGUCUUGAGACGGAAGGGCAGCCUCUCUGGGGAACACUCCAAAGGGUCCCCAGACCUGACACAUCAAGAUUAACACCUGAGGAUUUGGAGCUGAGUGAUAAGAAAGGAUGCUGGAGCUUUCCAUGGGUCCUGGAUCAUCAAUCCCAAAUCUGAAAAUAUUAAAGUUUUUCUGAAAAUUUAUGAAUCUCUGAGGUGAACUUAAUAACACAAUUGCAGAAUCUUGAAUCACCUGAAUUCCUAUCCUGGUUCCCACAGAACGUUCAUUUGGGUCUAGGGAGAAGGUCUUCUAAUGAUCCCAGAGCUGUCAUGAUAAUUAUCUACCACCACUUCAGGGAGAUGCUGUAGUAUAAAGUAGUGUUGGCUCUGCUAUUGGACAAACACAGAUGAAGAUCCUGGUUCCAUUGUUUACCACCCCCGACUCUGGGCAAGGCUGCAGAAACACUGGGGGCACAGUGGCUCAAGGUUCAGGAUGGCUGAGGAAUAUGGUCCUGCUCCAGGUGAAGAGACAACUCUGUCCCUUGGAAAUAAGGGAUGUUUAUCGAAGAGUCAACUCGGAGACCUCGUGGCCUUAG
Molecule: long non-coding RNA, 786 nt
Filed under: Mustela putorius furo (domestic ferret)
Lineage: Eukaryota; Metazoa; Chordata; Mammalia; Carnivora; Mustelidae
Description: lncRNA (ENSMPUG00000030120.1)
Source: RNAcentral